This 497-nucleotide ribosomal RNA is filed under the name uncultured bacterium. Its description in RNAcentral is "partial 16S ribosomal RNA". It matches the Rfam family "Bacterial small subunit ribosomal RNA", at positions 28 to 506 of the family's 1533-position model. The record is from RNAcentral.
GAUGAACGCUGGCGGCGUGCCUAAUACAUGCAAGUCGAGCGAACGGAUAAGGAGCUUGCUCCUUUGACGUUAGCGGCGGACGGGUGAGUAACACGUGGGUAACCUACCUAUAAGGCUGGGAUAACUUCGGGAAACCGGAGCUAAUACCGGAUAAUAUUUUGAACCGCAUGGUUCAAUAGUGAAAGAUGGUUUUGCUAUCACUUAUAGAUGGAUCCGCGCCGGAUUAGCUAGUUGGUAAGGUAACGGCUUACCAAGGCGACGAUACGUAGCCGACCUGAGAGGGGGGACCGGCACAAUGGAACUGAGGAACCGGUCAAGCUCCUACGGGAGGGAACAGUAAGGAAUCUUUCGGAAUGGGGGGAAGGCCUGCGGGACAACCGCGGGGGGAGGGAUGAAGGCUUCCGGACCGAAAACCCUUGUAAUAGGGAAAAAAAAAAGGGGUAAGAACUGGUGACAGUUUGGAGGGAACCAAACAAGAAAACACCGGUAACUUCCGU